GACGAACGCUGGCGGCGUGCUUAACACAUGCAAGUCGAACGCUGAAGCUCAGCUUUUGUUGGGUGGAUGAGUGGCGAACGGGUGAGUAACACGUGAGUAACCUGCCUCCUUCUUUGGGAUAACGCCCGGAAACGGGUGCUAAUACUGGAUAUUCACUGGUCUUCGCAUGGGGGUUGGUGGAAAGGGUUUUUCUGGUGGGGGAUGGGCUCGCGGCCUAUCAGCUUGUUGGUGGGGUGAUGGCCUACCAAGGCUUUGACGGGUAGCCGGCCUGAGAGGGUGACCGGUCACAUUGGGACUGAGAUACGGCCCAGACUCCUACGGGAGGCAGCAAUGGGGAAUAUUGCACAAUGGGCGCAAGCCUGAUGCAGCGACGCCGCGUGAGGGAUGGAGGCCUUCGGGUUGUGAACCUCUUUCGCUCAUGGUCAAGCCGCAACAAUGGUUGUGGUGAGGGUAGUGGGUAAAGAAGCGCCGGCUAACUACGUG
Molecule: ribosomal RNA, 483 nt
Filed under: uncultured bacterium
Lineage: Bacteria
Description: partial 16S ribosomal RNA
Rfam family: Bacterial small subunit ribosomal RNA
Source: RNAcentral